GACGAACGCUGGCGGCGUGCUUAACACACGCAAGUCGAACGGAAAGGCCCUGCUUUUGUGGGGUGCUCGAGUGGCAAACGGGUGAGUAACACGUGAGUAACCUGCCCUUGACUUUGGGAUAACUUCAGGAAACUGGGGCUAAUACCGGAUAGGAGCUCCUGCUGCAUGGUGGGGGUUGGAAAGUUUCGGCGGUUGGGGAUGGACUCGCGGCUUAUCAGCUUGUUGGUGGGGUAGUGGCUUACCAAGGCUUUGACGGGUAGCCGGCCUGAGAGGGUGACCGGCCACAUUGGGACUGAGAUACGGCCCAGACUCCUACGGGAGGCAGCAGUGGGGAAUAUUGCACAAUGGGCGGAAGCCUGAUGCAGCAACGCCGCGUGCGGGAUGACGGCCUUCGGGUUGUAAACCGCUUUCGCCUGUGACGAAGCGUGAGUGACGGUAAUGGGUAAAGAAGCACCGGCUAACUACGUG
Molecule: ribosomal RNA, 468 nt
Filed under: uncultured bacterium
Lineage: Bacteria
Description: partial 16S ribosomal RNA
Rfam family: Bacterial small subunit ribosomal RNA
Source: RNAcentral